Molecule: long non-coding RNA, 839 nt
Filed under: Physcomitrium patens
Lineage: Eukaryota; Viridiplantae; Streptophyta; Bryopsida; Funariales; Funariaceae
Description: long non-coding RNA (PPAT_LNC008748)
Source: RNAcentral
UUUGGUAUAAUAUUGGAAGACUUGAAGAUCAAGCUAUAUACCAAUUUUGAGUUGAAGUUAAUAGUUAAAUAAGGAGAAAUCACUGUUGAAAGAUUUACAUUAACUUUCAAGUUGGCAGCCAAGUAAUAUUAGUGUGGUUUUUGGGCAUUUUUUCACAAUCUAUAAGUUGGAUUGGAGUGAAUUCUUAUUAAGCAUAUAAAAGACUUAUAGUGGCAUUUGCAUGUAAAAUUUUGCUUCAAGUGAAUGGUUAGAUUACAAGUUACAAUUUGCUAAAGCUUAUUGAUUAAGAUUAAAGUUUGCAAAGAAAGUUUGAAAAUAUCUAAUUAUUGAAGUAAUAAGACAAUUAGAAUUUAUGUAUUAUUGAGACUACUAAGAGUGUUUUUGAGUACUCUGUAUCAAAAUUAAGUACUUUUGAAUUAAAAUUCAAAUUACAUUCUUCUCAUAAAGGUGAAACAUAUUAGGAUUUUUGGAUAUUUGUAAAAUAUAAUCCCACCUUCUACAACCAGAUGCCUGGUGCAUUCCCAAAUAUGACAAUACAUAAUAUGACAAUGCACAUGGGAGCUAGCAAAGAAUCUUGUAAAUACAACAAAGAAGGUUGAGGCCUUUCAUCAACAACAUUCAAGAAUUGUAAAGAUCCAUGAAAGAUGAUGACCGCUCUUUGUGGAACUCAUUCAUAGAAGGAGGCAUAAUAUCACGAACAUAUAGAUUUAUUCCAAUAGUUAUUUAUAUGAUUAGGUAGAAGUAGAUAAAUAUAAAUUAAUUUCAUAAAGUCUUCUAGAAAAGCUUCCUAAAAGCUUUAUAGAUGUAGUUUUGACUUCAAAUAUGUUUGUAGGUUAGAA